CAAACACACGCCGCGUGUAUAUGCAUGUGUGUGUAUAUAUAGAUAUAUAUAUAUAUAUAUUUAUAUAUAUCUAUAUAUAUAUACACACACACACACAUACAUACAUACACUGCUGUGUGUGUCUG
RNAcentral lists this microRNA precursor (125 nucleotides) under Pelobates cultripes (western spadefoot toad). Lineage: Eukaryota; Metazoa; Chordata; Amphibia; Anura; Pelobatidae. The record is from RNAcentral.